GAGGAAUAUUGGUCAAUGGGCGAGAGCCUGAACCAGCCAAGUCGCGUGAGGGAAGAAUGGUCUAUGGCCUGUAAACCUCUUUUGUCAAGGAAGAAUAAGGAUGACGAGUCAUUCGAUGCCAGUACUUGACGAAUAAGCAUCGGCUAACUCCGUGCCAGCAGCCGCGGUAAUACGGGGGAUGCGAGCGUUAUCCGGAUUUAUUGGGUUUAAAGGGCGCGUAGGCGGGACGGCAAGUCAGCGGUAAAAGACUGCAGCUAAACUGUAGCACGCCGUUGAAACUGUUGACCUCGAGACGAGACGAGGGAGGCGGAACAAGUGAAGUAGCGGUGAAAUGCAUAGAUAUCACUUGGAACCCCGAUAGCGAAGGCAGCUUCCCAGGCUCGUUCUGACGCUGAUGCGCGAGAGCGUGGGUAGCGAACAGGAUUAGAUACCCUGGUAGUCCACGCCGUAAACGAUGCUCACUGGAUCUUGGCGAUACACGGCCAGGGUUCAAGCGAAAGUAUUAAGUGAGCCACCUGGGGAGUACGUCGGCAACGAUGAAACUCAAAGGAAUUGACGGGGGCCCGCACAAGCGGAGGAACAUGUGGUUUAAUUCGAUGAUACGCGAGGAACCUUACCCGGGUUUAAAUGUAGAUUGCAUGAGGUGGAAACACUUCUUCCCUUCGGGGCUAUUUACAAGGUGCUGCAUGGUUGUCGUCAGCUCGUGCCGUAAGGUGUCGGGUUAAGUCCCAUAACGAGCGCAACCCCUAUCGCCAGUUGCCAUCGGUUCAAGCCGGGCACUCUGUCGAGACUGCCACCGUAAGGUGCGAGGAAGGCGGGGAUGACGUCAAAUCAGCACGGCCCUUACACCCGGGGCGACACACGUGUUACAAUGGCCGGUACAGAGGGCAGCCACGGGGUGACCCGGAGCGAAUCUCUAAAGCCGGUCGUAGUUCGGACUGGAGUCUGCAACCCGACUCCACGAAGUUGGAUUCGCUAGUAAUCGCGCAUCAGCCAUGGCGCGGUGAAUACGUUCCCG
This 1018-nucleotide ribosomal RNA is filed under the name uncultured organism. RNAcentral describes it as "bacterial SSU rRNA". It matches the Rfam family "Bacterial small subunit ribosomal RNA", at positions 356 to 1376 of the family's 1533-position model. The record is from RNAcentral.